This 522-nucleotide ribosomal RNA is filed under the name uncultured bacterium. RNAcentral describes it as "bacterial SSU rRNA". It matches the Rfam family "Bacterial small subunit ribosomal RNA", at positions 95 to 606 of the family's 1533-position model. The record is from RNAcentral.
GUGGCGAACGGGUGAGUAACACGUAAGUGACCUACCUGUACGACGAGGAUAACUACUGGAAACGGUAGCUAAGACUGGAUAGGAUAUAUACUUAAGGGUAUAUAUUUAAAGGAUCCUUUAGGAUCGCGUACAGAAGGGCUUGCGGCGCAUUACCUAGUUGGUGGGGUAAAGGCCUACCAAGGCGACGAUGCGUAGCCGACCUGAGAGGGUGACCGGCCACACUGGGACUGAGAGACGGCCCAGACUCCUACGGGAGGCAGCAGUAGGGAAUCUUCGGCAAUGGACGGAAGUCUGACCGAGCGAUGCCGCGUGAGUGAAGAAGGUCUUCGGAUUGUAAAGCUCUGUGAUUAGGGAAGAAGGCUAUUAGGAGGGAAUGCCUAAUAGGUGACGGUACCUAAUUAGAAAGCCACGGCUAACUACGUGCCAGCAGCCGCGGUAAUACGUAGGUGGCGAGCGUUGUCCGGAAUUACUGGGCGUAAAGGGUGCGUAGGCGGUCCAUUAAGUCUGAUUUGAAAUACCAUG